ACAGCAGUAGCCGCGGGAAUACGUAGGGUGCAAGCGUUAAUCGGAAUUACUGGGCGUAAAGCGUGCGCAGGCGGUUCUAUAAGACAGAUGUGAAAUCCCCGGGCUCAACCUGGGAACUGCAUUUGUGACUGUAGAGCUGGAGUGCGGCAGAGGGGGAUGGAAUUCCGCGUGUAGCAGUGAAAUGCGUAGAUAUGCGGAGGAACACCGAUGGCGAAGGCAAUCCCCUGGGCCUGCACUGACGCUCAUGCACGAAAGCGUGGGGAGCAAACAGGAUUAGAUACCCGUGUAGUCCCUGUCUCUUAUAU
This 305-nucleotide ribosomal RNA is filed under the name uncultured bacterium. Its description in RNAcentral is "partial 16S ribosomal RNA". It matches the Rfam family "Bacterial small subunit ribosomal RNA", at positions 506 to 809 of the family's 1533-position model. The record is from RNAcentral.